UCGAGAAUCAUUCGCAAUGGGCGCAAGCCUGACGAUGCGACGCCGCGUGCAGGAUGAAGGCCUUCGGGUUGUAAACUGCUGUGAUGGGGGAGCAACGAGCGGAGUAUUAAUAACACUUCGCAGUGAUAGUACCCCAAGAGGAAGCCACGGCUAACUCUGUGCCAGCAGCCGCGGUAAUACAGAGGUGGCAAGCGUUGUUCGGAUUUACUGGGCGUAAAGGGUGCGUAGGCGGUCUCAUGUGUCGGAUGUG
RNAcentral lists this ribosomal RNA (250 nucleotides) under uncultured bacterium. Its description in RNAcentral is "partial 16S ribosomal RNA". It matches the Rfam family "Bacterial small subunit ribosomal RNA", at positions 355 to 596 of the family's 1533-position model. The record is from RNAcentral.